This 439-nucleotide ribosomal RNA is filed under the name uncultured bacterium. RNAcentral describes it as "partial 16S ribosomal RNA". It matches the Rfam family "Bacterial small subunit ribosomal RNA", at positions 339 to 795 of the family's 1533-position model. The record is from RNAcentral.
CUACGGGGGGCUGCAGCGAGGAAUAUUGCACAAUGGGGGGAACCCUGAUGCAGCAACGCCGCGUGGAGGAUGACGCAUUUCGGUGUGUAAACUCCCUUUAUAUGUCAAGAAAAUGACGGUAGCAUAUGAAUAAGCACCGGCUAACUCCGUGCCAGCAGCCGCGGUAAUACGGAGGGUGCAAGCGUUACUCGGAAUCACUGGGCGUAAAGGACGCGUAGGCGGGUUGGAAAGUCAGGUGUGAAAUCCUACAGCUUAACUGUAGAACUGCACUUGAAACUUCUAAUCUAGAGUAUGGGAGGGGGAGGUGGAAUUAGUGGUGUAGGGGUAAAAUCCGUAGAUAUCACUAGGAAUACCUAAAGCGAAGGCGAUCUCCUGGAACAUUACUGACGCUAAGGCGUGAAAGCGUGGGGAGCAAACAGGAUUAGAUACCCCCGUAGUC